AGUGAACGCUGGCGGUAGGCCUAACACAUGCAAGUCGAACGGCAGCACAGUAAGAGCUUGCUCUUACGGGUGGCGAGUGGCGGACGGGUGAGGAAUACAUCGGAAUCUACUUUUUCGUGGGGGAUAACGUAGGGAAACUUACGCUAAUACCGCAUACGACCUACGGGUGGAAGCAGGGGAUCUUCGGACCUUGCGCGAUUGAAUGAGCCGAUGUCGGAUUAGCUAGUUGGCGGGGUAAAGGCCCACCAAGGCGACGAUCCGUAGCUGGUCUGAGAGGAUGAUCAGCCACACUGGAACUGAGACACGGUCCAGACUCCUACGGGAGGCAGCAGUGGGGAAUAUUGGACAAUGGGCGCAAGCCUGAUCCAGCCAUACCGCGUGGGUGAAGAAGGCCUUCGGGUUGUAAAGCCCUUUUGUUGGGAAAGAAAAGCAGCGGGUUAAUACCCCGCUGUUCUGACGGUACCCAAAGAAUAAGCACCGGCUAACUUCGUG
This 492-nucleotide ribosomal RNA is filed under the name uncultured bacterium. Its description in RNAcentral is "partial 16S ribosomal RNA". It matches the Rfam family "Bacterial small subunit ribosomal RNA", at positions 29 to 507 of the family's 1533-position model. The record is from RNAcentral.